RNAcentral lists this ribosomal RNA (882 nucleotides) under Streptomyces sp. RNAcentral's name for it is "bacterial SSU rRNA". It matches the Rfam family "Bacterial small subunit ribosomal RNA", at positions 287 to 1144 of the family's 1533-position model. Lineage: Bacteria; Bacillati; Actinomycetota; Actinomycetes; Kitasatosporales; Streptomycetaceae. The record is from RNAcentral.
CCGGCCUGAGAGGGCGACCGGCCACACUGGGGACUGAGACACGGCCCAGACUCCUACGGGAGGCAGCAGUGGGGAAUAUUGCACAAUGGGCGAAAGCCUGAUGCAGCGACGCCGCGUGAGGGAUGACGGCCUUCGGGUUGUAAACCUCUUUCAGCAGGGAAGAAGCGAAAGUGACGGUACCUGCAGAAGAAGCGCCGGCUAACUACGUGCCAGCAGCCGCGGUAAUACGUAGGGCGCGAGCGUUGUCCGGAAUUAUUGGGCGUAAAGAGCUCGUAGGCGGCUUGUCACGUCGGUUGUGAAAGCCCGGGGCUUAACCCCGGGUCUGCAGUCGAUACGGGCAGGCUAGAGUUCGGUAGGGGAGAUCGGAAUUCCUGGUGUAGCGGUGAAAUGCGCAGAUAUCAGGAGGAACACCGGUGGCGAAGGCGGAUCUCUGGGCCGAUACUGACGCUGAGGAGCGAAAGCGUGGGGAGCGAACAGGAUUAGAUACCCUGGUAGUCCACGCCGUAAACGGUGGGCACUAGGUGUGGGCGACAUUCCACGUCGUCCGUGCCGCAGCUAACGCAUUAAGUGCCCCGCCUGGGGGAGUACGGCCGCAAGGCUAAAACUCAAAGGAAUUGACGGGGGGCCCGCACAAGCGGCGGGAGCAUGUGGGCUUAAUUUCGACGCAACGCGAAAGAACCUUACCAAGGCUUUGACAUACACCCGGAAAAGCAUCAGAAGAUGGUGGCCCCCCUUUGUGGGUCGGGUGUACAGGGUGGUGGCAUGGCUUGUCGUCCAGCUCGUGGUCCUGAGAAAUGGUUGGGGUUUAAGUCCCCGCAAACGAAGCCGCAACCCCUUUGUCCCCGGUGUUGGCCCAGCAGGCCCUUUGUGGUGGCUUGGGGA